This 253-nucleotide ribosomal RNA is filed under the name uncultured bacterium. RNAcentral's name for it is "partial 16S ribosomal RNA". It matches the Rfam family "Bacterial small subunit ribosomal RNA", at positions 524 to 776 of the family's 1533-position model. The record is from RNAcentral.
UACGUAGGGGGCAAGCGUUGUUCGGAAUUACUGGGCGUAAAGGGCGCGUAGGCGGCACGGCAAGUCAGGAGUGAAAGCCCGGGGCUCAACCCCGGAAUGUCUUUUGAAACUGCCGAGCUAGAGUGCGGAAGAGGCAACUGGAAUUCCCAGUGUAGCGGUGAAAUGCGUAGAUAUUGGGAAGAACACCCGUGGCGAAGGCGGCUCUCUGGGACGGUACUGACGCUGAGACGCGAAAGCGUGGGGAGCGAACAGG